UUUUUCCAUUGAAAUAUGUGGUGAUUUAAAUCUCGUGGGAUGGAUAAUCUACACCAUUCGAUGCUUUGUGGAAAAAUGUGGAAAAUAAUUUCUAUUGUGGUAAGUUCACCUGCGGCAUGAAGGCUUUUGGUUGGUCGUGUGGAACGUUGGAGCCAGUAGUGUAAGUGAUGCGGGUCUCAACUUAAGCAUCAAAUUCGAGCAGUAUAGUUUCGUGUUGGAUACUAAUCGUGAAUUGCAGGUGAUCUGUGUGAUCCAGGAAAAGUGCAGUA
RNAcentral lists this long non-coding RNA (269 nucleotides) under Helianthus annuus (common sunflower). RNAcentral's name for it is "sRNA HanXRQr2_Chr17g0799701". The record is from RNAcentral. Lineage: Eukaryota; Viridiplantae; Streptophyta; Magnoliopsida; Asterales; Asteraceae.